Molecule: long non-coding RNA, 1130 nt
Organism: Beta vulgaris subsp. vulgaris (sugar beet)
Lineage: Eukaryota; Viridiplantae; Streptophyta; Magnoliopsida; Caryophyllales; Amaranthaceae
Exons: 3
Source: RefSeq, a predicted model, not a curated record
AUUAAACUCUUUAUUUAGUUAUGGGUACCCUUAUACAAGUUAUCCAUCCAUAUAAACAAAGCCCAAAUGCCAAACCAUAACCCACAUGAUUUUUAGACAUAAAAGUUAAAAUAAAAUAAAAAAGGGGUGAAAAACGUGAUUCACUCCACUCAUCAUUUUCAUCUCCUUCCCUUCUCUCACAUCUGAAUUCCAUCACACAAGAACCAAGAUUUUCAACACCUUCCUCUCCUCCCUUCUUCUUCGUCUGAUUCACAACACACAAGAACCAAGAUCUUCAACAUAAAAAUUUCAGCUUUGUCAGUAAAUAAUUGAAUUUCAGUCCAUAUUUCAGACAUUAGGGGCAAAUUUUUUUUCAAAAGCUAAACCAUAGCCCUCACACCUCACACAUCCAUCAUUAGAUUUGUGACAAAAAAUCCUCCUACAAAUACUGAACUCUACUCACCAUAUUACUCAAGCAAACAAUCUCAAAAGGUUCGCUUCAAUUCAUUUCUUUCUUCCUUGAUUUCUGAUUUUUGAUUUUGAAAAUUAAAAAAGAAAUUUAAACCACCAAACACAACUCCUCUGUUUUCUUUCUACACGGGAAACCGCCACCUUCGACCACCCAUAUAACCGCCUGAAACCACCUGAACCAAUCGACCACCACAGAACCAUCGACCACCGCCAGUCUUCCUCUCCCACGCGACUCCCUUGCGGCCUCUGUUGCGUCCCAUACAGCCCACACCAGCCACCACGAAAAUCGCCAGCCUCCCUCACUCACCACCCUAAACCCGGACCUUGACUAAUUAACUCCCGCCUGAGCCUGGCCAUGCUUCGCCAGAAUCGAACCACAACUGCUUCGAACUCCUCCUUCGUGCCUCCCCUGUUUUGCCUCCCCUUCUUUCGUUCCUCAUUUGUUUCUCAACUUCGAUUUCGUAGGCGAGAAAUAUCAAGAGUGCUAAUACGUUCGUGAACUUAACUUUGGGCACGUGUCACGAGGUGGGUGAUCGACGGGAGAACUAAUGGGAGAUCAUUUAGAGUUGUCAUCCACUUAGCAUAUGAUUAGCUUCCGUUGGAACUCUGAAACAUUUAAGUAAUUAGUAUUGUUUAAUGAACGAUUUACUCGGUUGUAAGGAUUAAUGAAUUUGAGUUUA